Long non-coding RNA from Papaver somniferum (opium poppy), 1532 nucleotides. RefSeq lists it as uncharacterized. The record is from RefSeq and is a predicted model, not a curated record. The transcript is spliced from 3 exons. NCBI's taxonomy places the organism in Eukaryota, Viridiplantae, Streptophyta, Magnoliopsida, Ranunculales, Papaveraceae.
AGUUUUUUCGGAUUUCUCUCUCUUUCUGUCGUUUCUAUCGACUUAUCUCUCUUUCCCUUCGUCUCCCUCUUUCUUUCUCUCUUACAUAGAAAAACUCUGUAAAAAAAAUAAAUUGAUCCUCCACAUCCUCUGCUUUUCACUCUAUCCUUUCAAUACCAACUAACAAGAAUCGCCUCUACUCAUUCCCUUCUCUAAAUUAUUCACCAGCACGCUUUCACCUUUAGGGUUUUAUGCAAUCUCUUAUUAUCAUUUACCAAACCCUAGGUCAAUUUUUUGGUUCAAUCUUUGAUCAAAACCAUAACUCGUUCCUAUCCUUUUUCGAUUUGGAAAAAUACCAGUAAAACCCCUUAACCGAAUUGAAGAAACCCCUUACAGAAUUAUGAGAUUUUUCAUCUAUAAUGAACAUUCAACUAAUUUGUUUUUUUUUUUGUUUUUGUUUUUUUUUUCAUUUUUCAGUCAGGGUUUUUGUUAAUAUGGGUGCAGAUCUAACUGAUUUUAGCUCUAGGGGUUAUUCAGGAUUUAUAGUUUCUUAUUGUUGAAUGGAAUUUUGGGUUUGUUUUCGUUUACUCAGUUGGGUUUUUGUUAUAUCUCGAAUUGUUAACUAAGAUCUCUAAUGAUUACAAAAGGGUUGAUUUUUCUAGUUCUUUGACUGAAAAAAUGUUUUGUUUUGAAAUCUUAUCCAUGUUGUUUCAAUUUCUCUCAAUUUGUCAAUAGCAAUGAAGCCUGUAAUGUGUGUUAAUUUUUAUGUUUGUGUGAUUUAUGUUCAUAGUGACUUAAUGGGAGAUUUAUUUUCUGGAUCCCCAGUACUUCAGUACAUGUUGAUGAUAUUUGACUUUGGCCUGAUUAUGUUUGGCUUCCUUUUGUUAUGCUCUUGUUUGUGUAUGCUAGCAGUUUUGAUUUGCUUGGCUCUUUUGAAGUUAGGAUUACCUAAUACACUAAGCUUGAAUCUGAGGAUUACCUAAUACACUAAGCUUACCUAGUACGGGUAAUUGCUAUUUGUUAUACAUUUACACCCUUUUGUACACAUAGGUUACCGACUAUUCUUUUUAAUCCAGAUUGCGAUUAUGAGCAAUUUUACAAGUCUCGAUUCUUAUUAUGUUACCUACCCUAAAAUCUUGGUUAUUAUUUCUCCAGUUUUAUUGCUAAAGUGUUGUCUUAGUUUUUCUCUUGUAGUUGAAGUCAUAAGGAAGGUACCUGCGAAAAGUCUCCUUUAGCUUUGUUCUGUUUUUCUGUUAUGAAUAGGUACCUAUCUUUACACAUAUAGGUGAUGCUAAACUUGGAUAUGACGAUAAAAUUGAUGAACAAUAAGAGGAUGGAUUCUAGUUUUGGAAGUUGGGAGCCAUAGAACAUCCAAAGUAUCGUUGGAUUUACCAUAUUCUCUGAAGAUUCUUAUUUCAUUAUGUCUCAAGAUGCCUCUGUUAGCUAGCCUAGAUUGACCUAAGAUUUAUACCCUAUGAAGAUAUAUAGAGAAGAUUCUUACGGGAGAGAACAAAGAAUGAACUAUGCCUAAAGGAAGUCCCCUGUUGAGGCAC